RNAcentral lists this non-coding RNA (26 nucleotides) under Rattus norvegicus (Norway rat). Lineage: Eukaryota; Metazoa; Chordata; Mammalia; Rodentia; Muridae. The record is from RNAcentral.
UUCUGCCUUCAACAGCGUGGUGGUUA